UUUCUUGAGCAGCUAUGUGAAUUCAUGAUGCGAGUUGUGACUGUGUGCCAUCAUGCUCUUUUUCGGUAGGCCGCAUCUACAAGUGCUUGUUUACUGGCUCCGUGAGCUCACUACUGACGCUGCCAUUAGAUAUGCUGUCAACGGAAAAUUUGUUGGCAGAUUGUUUGCAGGGUUGUUUUGUGGUGACGUGCACACUGUGUGCAUUCAUCAGCCUGGUGUGGUUGAGAGAGCAGAUAGUCCAUGGGGGAGCACCAAUUUGGUUGGAGCAUGCUGCCCCACCCUUCAAUGCUGCGGGGCAUCACCAAAAUGAG
RNAcentral lists this small RNA (311 nucleotides) under Pan troglodytes (chimpanzee). Its description in RNAcentral is "retained intron". Lineage: Eukaryota; Metazoa; Chordata; Mammalia; Primates; Hominidae. The record is from RNAcentral.